GACGAACGCUGGCGGCGUGCUUAACACAUGCAAGUCGAACGGAAAGGCCCUGCUUUUGUGGGGUGCUCGAGUGGCGAACGGGUGAGUAACACGUGAGUAACCUGCCCUUGACUUUGGGAUAACUUCAGGAAACUGGGGCUAAUACCGGAUAGGAGCUCCUGCUGCAUGGUGGGGGUUGGAAAGUUUCGGCGGUUGGGGAUGGACUCGCGGCUUAUCAGCUUGUUGGUGGGGUAGUGGCUUACCAAGGCUUUGACGGGUAGCCGGCCUGAGAGGGUGACCGGCCACAUUGGGACUGAGAUACGGCCCAGACUCCUACGGGAGGCAGCAGUGGGGAAUAUUGCAUAAUGGGCGGAAGCCUGAUGCAGCAACGCCGCGUGAGGGAUGACGGCCUUCGGGUUGUAAACCGCUUUCGCCUGUGACGAAGCGUGAGUGACGGUAAUGGGUAAAGAAGCACCGGCUAACUACGUG
This 468-nucleotide ribosomal RNA is filed under the name uncultured bacterium. RNAcentral's name for it is "partial 16S ribosomal RNA". It matches the Rfam family "Bacterial small subunit ribosomal RNA", at positions 28 to 507 of the family's 1533-position model. The record is from RNAcentral.